UACGUAGGGUGCGAGCGUUAAUCGGAAUUACUGGGCGUAAAGUGUGCGCAGGCGGCAGAGCAAGUCGAGUGUGAAAGCCCCGGGCUUAACUUGGGAAUUGCGCUCGAAACUACUUUGCUGGAGUGUGGCAGAGGAAGGUGGAAUUCCACGUGUAGCGGUGAAAUGCGUAGAUAUUGGGAGGAACACCGGUGGCGAAGGCGGCCAUCUGGGAAGGUACUGACGCUGAGACGCGAAAGCGUGGGGAGCAAACAGG
RNAcentral lists this ribosomal RNA (253 nucleotides) under uncultured prokaryote. RNAcentral describes it as "partial 16S ribosomal RNA". It matches the Rfam family "Bacterial small subunit ribosomal RNA", at positions 524 to 776 of the family's 1533-position model. The record is from RNAcentral.